GCCGGGGAUCUUCGGACCUGGCGCUUGGAGAGGGACCCGCUGGCUGAUUAGCUUGUUGGUGGGGUAACGGCCUACCAAGGCAAUGAUCAGUAGCCGGCCUGAGAGGGUGAUCGGUCACACUGGAACUGAUGACACGGUCCAGACUCCUACGGGAGGCAGCAGUGAGGAAUUUUGCGCAAUGGGCGAAAGCCUGACGCAGCGACGCCGCGUGGACGAUGAAGGCCUUCGGGUCG
This 233-nucleotide ribosomal RNA is filed under the name uncultured bacterium. RNAcentral describes it as "partial 16S ribosomal RNA". It matches the Rfam family "Bacterial small subunit ribosomal RNA", at positions 202 to 425 of the family's 1533-position model. The record is from RNAcentral.